UAAAACAGACGGGCAGCAUGAACUAGGCCUAGCAUAGACAAGGGCAGGUGAUGCAAGAUUUGAGGGUACUAAACUUGUAACAACCACUUAUUGAAGCAAGCAAUUAUGAUCUGUAAAUUUAAGAUGAGGUCAAUCAUUUGCAAUAAAGGCUGAUACAGAUUACAGGCUAAAAGGUUUAAGCCUAAGAUUCAAAUAAUACCCUAAUGUAUAAGCUUAUGGGUAGCUGGCAAUACCCUAACGUAUAAAUCGCGUGGAUCAAUUAUGAAUGCAAACAUAGCAUACACAUUACAGGCUAAAAGGUUUAAGCCUAAGAUUCAAAUAAUACCCUAAUGUAUAAGCUUAUGGGUAGCUGGCAAUACCCAAACGUAUAAAUCGCGUGGAUCAAUUAC
RNAcentral lists this long non-coding RNA (389 nucleotides) under Citrus maxima (pomelo). Its description in RNAcentral is "long non-coding RNA (CMAX_LNC000513)". Lineage: Eukaryota; Viridiplantae; Streptophyta; Magnoliopsida; Sapindales; Rutaceae. The record is from RNAcentral.